AGGUUGGUGCAAAAGUAAUUGCUGUUUUUGCCAUACUUUCAACGGCAAAAACCACAAAUAUUUUUGCACCAACCUAU
RNAcentral lists this microRNA precursor (77 nucleotides) under Pongo abelii (Sumatran orangutan). RNAcentral's name for it is "miRNA". Lineage: Eukaryota; Metazoa; Chordata; Mammalia; Primates; Hominidae. The record is from RNAcentral.